AACGAACGCUGGCGGCAGGCUUAACACAUGCAAGUCGAACGCCCCGCAAGGGGAGUGGCAGACGGGUGAGUAACGCGUGGGAAUCUACCCAACUCUACGGAAUAACCCAGGGAAACUUGUUCUAAUACCGUAUACGCCCUUCGGGGGAAAGAUUUAUCGGAGUUGGAUGAGCCCGCGUUGGAUUAGCUAGUUGGUGGGGUAAAGGCCUACCAAGGCGACGAUCCAUAGCUGGUCUGAGAGGAUGAUCAGCCACAUUGGGACUGAGACACGGCCCAAACUCCUACGGGAGGCAGCAGUGGGGAAUAUUGGACAAUGGGCGCAAGCCUGAUCCAGCCAUGCCGCGUGAGUGAUGAAGGCCCUAGGGUUGUAAAGCUCUUUCACCGGUGAAGAUAAUGACGGUAACCGGAGAAGAAGCCUCGGCUAACUUCGUGCCAGCCGCCGCAGUAA
Molecule: ribosomal RNA, 447 nt
Filed under: uncultured bacterium
Lineage: Bacteria
Description: partial 16S ribosomal RNA
Rfam family: Bacterial small subunit ribosomal RNA
Source: RNAcentral